RNAcentral lists this long non-coding RNA (6605 nucleotides) under Sus scrofa (pig). RNAcentral describes it as "lncRNA (ENSSSCG00015000268.1)". The record is from RNAcentral. Lineage: Eukaryota; Metazoa; Chordata; Mammalia; Artiodactyla; Suidae.
AACUUACUAGUGUAGUUUGAUAGGAUUUAUGAGUAAAUCUAUUUCAGGUGUUUUAAUGAUCGUUUCAUUGUUAGUGAUUGUUGUCAUGCGCUAGGUCUUGAUGGCCUUUGGCAGUUUGGAAACAGUAGUCUAGAGAGUACAAAAAAGAACUCAUUUCAACCCAAAUGAACACUUACUAGCUCUAUCAGCCUUUAUGAGUGGAUGUGCCUCAGAGUUUCCCUCCGUUUGACCUCCUCCCCCGCCCUCAGUGGACCUCACAGUGACUGGCUGGCCGGGAUGCAGAGGAAGGACCGGGGUAGCAUCCUCAUGGGUGACCAGGGAGAGAUUCCCUGCAGAGCAAGAGCCCCCGCACACUCCCGGCACCUGCUCUCCUUCUGCCAUUCCCACUCCUGCCCCACUUCACCUGCCACGUAUCUCCUAGAGAGCAGUCUGGUUUUAGGCAAACCUUGGGGCUGCUUUGGUUUUAUUUAGGUGUUAAUGCAAGAAAUGAUUGAUUCUUCCUACAUCGAUGAAAGACACACACACAGUCUGUCCAGCUGCUCCCCCGUCAAGGAAGUGUUCUCCACCAGAGAUGCCUGAGACGUUCUUCCCCACCUGUCCCACCGGUGGUCCCUGGCCUCCGUCUCCAGGGAUGCCCAGUGACGGGAGGGGGGCCUUUCAGAGACACCCGAGGCGCACUUGCGAAAGAGCCUGGUCACAGAGCACACGUGUCUGAGUGUUGUACAAGUGACUCGUUCAUCUGGAUUUCCAUCCCUAUAGAACACUUGUGUGCAAUCAUAGCAAGACAGUUGCAGGAGCGGAGGUGAUGUGUGUUACUGGUCCUCCAAGGACCCAUCAUUGGUGCAUUUGGCAUCCUCAGGGGCUCUGUGUCCAGCUCCUGAUGCCCACAGGCUGGGCUGGUCCUCAGGGCAUGGGGACUGUCCUCCCUGCCUGCAGGGCCCCUCCUUGGAAUGCAGCUCCACUGAGGCCCCCUGGGCCAGGGGCUUAGAGAGCUUCCUGUCCAGACCAGGUGUGUAAUUUCUCUUUUCCCUCGCUCCUUCUGCUUUUAGCAAACAAACAAACAAAAGGCACUAUUUUGAGAGCAAAGUGGGACAUGUCAAACCCCGCCAGCAGUUCAGGAAAUUCAAGUGUCUCAUGCGACUCCUUUUUUAAAAAAAUCUUUCUUCUGGAGUCACCGUCUCUCUUGUUAUGGGAAAUGAACAGUGAUAGAUCUAGAACAUUCCUUAUGAUCAGUUUUGCUCUCUCUCCCUCUCUCUGUCCCUUUUUCAUGUACUUGCCUAGUUCUUUGGCUUGUUUUCUUAAUAGUUUUAAAAUUCAGAAAUCCACCGAUGUCUUCAGAUUAUAAAUUACAGAAUUUUAGGACAGAAAAGGGCUUUAGGAAUCACUCACUUGCUGAGCAUUUUGUUGUAGGCUGAUGUCCCUGGCACUUGUUCAAAUAGCUUUUCUCUAUUCUAUUUGUUUUUUGAGGGUUUUGUUUUUUGUUUUUUAAUACAUGUAUGUUUAUUUGUUUGGUCUUUUUAGGGGUGUACCUGAGGCAUAUGGAAGUUCCCAGGCUAGGAGUUGAAUCGAAGCUGUAGCUGCUGGCCUACCCCACAGCCACAGCCAUGCAGGAUCUGAGCCCUGUGUAAGGGGUAAACCAGAAGUCCGAAAUACUAAGACAGAGGUCUUGCCCUAAAGCUCCGUAAGAAAGAUACUAUCUCUAAACAGACCCAUCACUUUCAAAGGACUUCUUUUCACAGGGCUUUUUGGGGGCAGGGGAGCCUUUUACCAAUAUCUUUCAGUCCCCCUAAGGAAUUACAUAAACGCAUUAGGUUCAGGUUACCCAUUCCUUCUGCACCUGAAGCUGCAGGUAAGUUUGCUGUGCAGAUUAAACCUUGUCUCCACACCUGUCACUUCUGGAUCCUGUAAGCUCCAUCCCCAGCGUUCCAGGGCCAGUCACCUCAAAGUGGGCUGUAGCCAAGCUCCCAGUGAACGAUGCUCAGUCAGGGAUAAGACCCCUAGUCCUACAUCGUGGGAGAGGCAUAUUCAGAGGAUUCUCUUUCUUCAAGACAACGCUGCAUACUUACUGACCUUUCAGGGGUGGCCUUGCAGGUAAAUCUCACCUUCUCCAAGAAACCCCAUGGUGAACUCUCAUCACACAUCAGAAUAAAUUUCACACAUCACUUGGGCACUACUUGGCAGAUAUCGCCUCAUAUUGUGGUCUUUUGUGUACAUGUACUGUUUCACUUAAAAGACUGUAGUCACCUCCCAGAGCUGUGAGUGUAUUUAACCACAUGGAAAGACCCCACGGCCCAAGUCAGGCCGUGCGCGUGCACAUUGGAUGCUGGUAAACGCUGGUGAAAUGAAUGGAUGGCUCGCGGUGUCAGGCACUAGAAAGCACUCAAUAAAUAGUUGUAGAAUUGGACCGAAUUGGAAGUCCUGAAAUAUUUCACCGUUCUCUAGCCUUUCUGCUUUAUGCCAUUUACUGUGGGUUUAGAGAGUAAGAUGAAGCUCUGUGUACACACUAAAGAGUCGUAAGCAGUUGCUGGUUAUCUGAAGAGCCCCUGAGCUCUUAGCUAUUUUAUGGCUCUGAUUCUUUUUUUUUUUUUCUCUCUCUCUAAGCAGUGUUUUCUAUUUCUGGCCAUUACAUACUCUCAUAUAAAAAUUUAAUUAGACCCCUUCUUUUCAGUUCAUUAUUACAGCCCUGUCUGUUUGCUCUUUCGACAGAACCUAGUGAACAAGAGCGAUCCCUUUUCUAGCACAAACUUCAUGACUUUGUGCCUGCGAACGAGCGUGCACACAACCCCUCGAUGACCUACCUGCAGCUGGAGGGGAUUGUGGGUUGUGACAUGAGCUGAGUGUUCAGGUAGCCUUGAAAACCUUUGAUUUGGUCACAGUCCCCCUUGGAGCAGCCCCUGGAGCCAAGUUCAAAUGCCGUGCGGUGCUUGAGAUGAAAAACAUACGUGUGUCUUGUUCAUUCAUCAUCAAUGACUGUUUUCUUAACUAUCUUGAGGGUUGAAAUUAGGCAUAGAAUAUGUAAAUUAGGUAUAGAAUAUGCCUUAAGAGAGGCCUUUUCUUUCAAGAGCAGCUGUAACAGAAGGUGUCUAUUCCAGAAGGGUGGGGACCUAUAGUUUUGUCCAUUCUUUACCUGGUACCUGGUCGUUGUUGCAUAAAUCUUUUUUGAGUGAGGAUUCGUGGGCCUAACUAACUGCUAGCUAGUUUUGCUCUUCAUCCUCGAUUAAAGUGUUUUCUGGACUAGAAAGCUCCUGUGACCGUGUCUCUAAGUCUCCAUGAGUGAUGUCUUGCCUGGGGCUUCUCUCCAGCACCCCAAGAUGCUACCAUACCUGUCUUCAAGAACUGCGGCUACAAUGCCUGACUUGGCGGGGCAGGGGCUGGGCCUGGUCCCCAAAAGGCACCCGUAACGCCCAGUACAUCUCACACAGCCUCGGAGGGAAGAGCGUGUACUGGGGAGUCACACACACCUAGCACAAAGCCACCUGCCACUAUCUCUUGACACGGGGCAAGUAGCAUGACGUCUCCUGUUGUCUGUUUACUGAUCUAUAAAGUUGGUCCCAUGAUACCUACCACCCAGAAGGGGUGGCGGGUAGUAAACGAGGGAGCAGCUCCUGAGAUAGCAAAUUAUUCAUUUACAAUUCCUUUUAUAGAUAACAGUGGUUCUCCACCCUCCUCUGUAUUGAGUGGUUUACUUCUUACUCUUGCAUGAAAUGGAAAAGAUGGGAGAAAGGCCCCCAUAACCUUGGUUCCUUGGUGCUUUAGGGCAUCUUUGAUCUGGUGCCGAGUUAGAGGCUAAAGUGUGAGUGCAGGAAGGACUCAUUCUAGGUGGGAGCAGCACUGGCCACUGGAACUUCCUGUGGUCGUGGAAUUGUUCUGGAUCCAUGAUGUCCCACACAGGGCCACUAGUUCCAGUGCGGGAGAUGUGGCCAGUUUGACCGAGCAGCAGAAGUUUUAAUUUCAUUUGAUUCUGAAUGUAAACCCAUGGCCAGUGACUAGCGCCUUGGAUGGUGUGGCUCUAGGGCCUUGCUGGGGCUUGAGGACUAGUGGUUUCUCCGUUUCCUGGGAGCUUGUUGAGAAAUGGAAGCUCUCAGGCAUCACCCUAGACCUGCUGGAUUAGAGUCAGCACAGGUGGUUCACACACACAUUCGGACUUAAGAAACACAGGGCUACCAUCUGAGCUGCCUGGGUAUGUCCACCAACAUCGGUGCAGCUGUGGGGCCAGGGAGGCUGCAAGCGUGGUGUCGGCGGGUUCCUGCGGUCACCUUUGGCUUUUCAGCUGCUCGCCACACUAAUGCAGUUUCCAGGGACCUGUGCAUGGGGUUCUCUGUGCAUCCCUGUGGCUGAGAGAUCAAAGAAGAAGUUACAUGGCUUUUAGCUCAGGAUUAAAUGCUGUUUUGCUUAUUCCUCCUCAUAAACCUCCUUCUCUGUGUUUCUUCCCAAAGGGUUACUCUCCCAUUUAUUGUCCCAUUCAGCCUACUGUAGCUUUAUUUUCCCUACUACUUUGCCUUAAACCGACAAAGAUGUGGCUAUAUAUGUGUUCUCCCUCUCUCUCUCUUUCUGGAUGUUUCAAACCAUAUGAGUUCAGGUUGUGGUUAUCUUUUUUUUUUUUUCUUUUUUUUUUUUUUUCGUCUUUUGUCUUUUUAGGGACACACCCACCACAUAUGGAGGUUCCCACGCUAGGGGUUGAAUUGGACCUAUCGCUCCCAGCCACAGCCACAGCCACCGCCGUGCCAGAUCCUAGCUGCAUCUGCAACCUACACCACCGGAUCCUUAACCCACUGAGCGAGGCCAGGGAUUGAACCCGUAUCCUCAUGGAUCCUUAACCACUGAGCCAUGACAGGAACCCCAGGUUGUGAUUAUCUUAAUGCUUCCAGCACUCUGGCUAGUCAUAAAUAUUUCGACAGGCUACAUAGCAUUUUCUAAGUGAAAUGAGAGAAAUGCCCCCCACCCCUCUGAGAGUAUUAAUAAUUUCUGUUUUGUCUGGAGGCUUAUUUAGCCAAUUGAAGCAACAGAGACUUCACCGACUUCCUGGACAUCCAUUGGUCAGAUCACUUAGGCUCAUGUGGAUGUUACUUGGGUAUUUAGCCAAGUUGGGGAUUUGAUUCUCUGUCUCAUUAUUUUGAAGGAGACUUUUCAUCCUGCCCUCUUUUCAGUCUUGAUCGCUCGCAGCCAUGAUGUGCUGGUGGCUUCUCCACCAGAUGUUGUCUACGUGAUGUCUGUGACAGGUUGCAGAAACGCAUUAAGCCACAUCAGGGGAGCCCAAGGGCACACUGUGGGGAAACUGAGGCGGCGUGCCAGAACAGGUGCCCCAACAAGGAUUCCGUGCCCUUAGAAUGUGUCUGGAACACAGACCCAGGGUUGCAGCCCUGGUAAAUGAUGGAGCCCCAGUUUGAGCCCUGGCAGUUUGCUCCCAGCGUUUGCGCACCUCGCCAUCCCCGGCGCCUGACGUGGCUCCCUGCCAGGGACGGUGCCCUUCCCAGAUCCCCUACGCUUGCUCCUUCUGAGCAUCUGUUACUGUGUCCCGUCUCUCCUCCCCCAGGUUUUUGCUCAGAUGUCCCCUUCCCAAAGGCUCUUUCUCCAGCCGCUCCUUCAAAGCUAGUGCACAUGCGGACCAGGGCUCUGGGUCCUCAAGUGGCCCGAGCGUCCCCUGUCCGACUGUCACACUCCGCAGCCGUGUCUGUCCAUGUCAGUCAUUGAGGACAGGGACCACCUCUGUCUUGCUCCCCUUUGCUCCCCCAGCUUGAGACUGAGUGCCCCACCCGGAGUAGGCACUUGACGGCUGCGUAGUGAAGGACGAACGGGGCCAUUUAAUUCUGUGGGUAGAUCCGCACUGAAUUGUUUGGGAGCCAGUCUCGCUUCUCUAGAAUUCACUGUUUCUUUGGCAGGACGAGGCCUUACUGUUUUCAAGCUGUGAGAUUUAAAGACAAAAUGCUUCCUGCUAAUUAUUAACAGUUGCCCUGGAAGAACAGAGUCAUUAUGGGGCCCUGAACCCUGGCACGCUGCCCCCCCGGCCCAUGGCAAAGAGUGCCAUGGAUUGGGGUGGGAAAGCAGAGGCAGCCACAGCCCUGGCACCCGCCAGCCCUCUGAUUACCCAAAGAGGAUUGGGGGCCGAAAGAGUAGGGAGUGGGUUAAAAGGAUUUGCAAUGAGAUUAUAGGACCCAAAAGCUCCUUGCUUUUGUUCGGGAAAUAAUUUAUCGGUUUUCUUCAAGGCAGCGAGACAAUCCAGUUUAGGGCCUGGAGUGGUAGAUCGACAUCCUGGGGUUCUAAAGAUGCUGAAAAAUCAGUGGAUCUGUAUUUGUACUUGGCAGGAUUCUUGGUUUUUUGUUUGUUUUGUUUUAAAGGAGGAAAAAAGCUCAUUAAAAGUACUCUAGGAGUUCCCGUUGUGGCUCAGAGGGUUAAGAACCUGAUAUAGUGUCCAUGAGGAAGCAGGUUCCAUCCCUGGCCUCACUCAGUGAGUUAAGGACCCAGCGUUGCUGCAAGCUGCGGCAUCGGUUGCAGAUGUGGCUCAGGUCUGGUGUUGCCAUGGCUGGGGUGUAGACUGCAGCUGCAGCUCCAAUUCGCCAGUUUUGACUCCUAGCCCAGGAACUUCUAUAUGCUGUAGGUGCAGCCAU